GGAGUCACUUUCUCUGACAAAAGCGCAGGCUUGAAUAAUAAGUAACGGGGUACAAAAAAGUUGGGCGUCGUGUUGUUUUCACUAAACACCGACUAAAAAGUGUUGAAGAGUAUUGUAGACCUAAAGAUUAUUGAAGAUUUCUGACAUCACAAUAACAUCCUACAGUUAUGACAGAUGAAGAAACAGCCCUGGAGACGGUGGAAGAUCCGUCUGAAAGCAACGUGCCCCGCUCAGCGGGUCCCCUUGUGGAAGUAACGUUUCAGAGGAAUCCUCAACAAAAACUAAAGUUCCUGGAGUCUGAACCCAAAGCAUUAGGGAUCACUCAGAUUGCCCUCGGUGUGUUUCAUGUUGGUUGCAUCAUUGUCAUGUUGACUAACGGCAUGGGUGUGUUGUCUCGCGAAGCGUUUCAAAUCUUUGGAUCACAUUUGACUGGGCAGCCUCGAAUGCUGUGAAACUUCCUGUACAGCAUUGGCAUAUUGAAACCACAUCCCUGCCCCAGACAGCUGGUGAAUAACUGGUUAUCAUAGCCGGCAGUUUGGCCAUAGCUGCGCAGAAUCUCCGUCUUACAACACUAAAGGCAUGCCUGGGGAUGCAGGUGGUGGCCUGUGCAGUAUCAAUGUUCAACUUGUUUUUUUCUAUGGAGGCUUUCUCGACCUACCAUAUCUACAGUCCAUGCUGGCAUUAUGAGUACAACAUCACCACCGAAAUCUGCUAUUCAAUCGUGGAGUCUUCUGGACAUUUUAUUCAUACAUUUGCUUUGGUAAAUACUGCCAUCAUCGCCAUUUCCAUCACACUGGCCAUCUACUGCUGCAAAGUGGUCAACUGCUGCUUCCCGGCACCAAGAAUGCCGAUCAUCACAGUGCAAGCCCCUCCAGUUCAGUGAUGAGGAGAGAUACCUUGUGAGAUAUCCAGCGUGCUAACCAACCACCUGAAACGUGUGUCAAUAAUACCAUGCCUAACAAAAAUAUACCAUGGUACAACUACUAAUACUAUUACUACUACUACUUCAUGAAUCAUUCGUUUGGUUUUAGCCUUUAUCAAUUGUACCUGAAAAUAACUCUGAUAUUUAUACCAGGGAUUCGGUACACUUCCUCCCACAAAAAACUAAUUGCAUCAUAUUUUGUGAGACCGGAAGGUAUUUUCUCUGUUUUUGCAUAUUUGCCACACUGAAUGGUGUCCGAUUCAGAACCAGAGUAAACAAAAACAUACUUUUUUUUUAAGGGAAAAGGUUCUCCUACACCAAUUGGCCCUGUGUAAAAAAAGGUAUUGUACUCAUAUACAAUGGUAACAGCACAAUUUAAAUAUCUAGUAGUGCAUGUACAUGGCCAAAUAAAAUUUGUGUAGAACAUUUUA
RNA transcript from Esox lucius (northern pike), 1353 nucleotides. RefSeq lists it as uncharacterized. The record is from RefSeq and is a predicted model, not a curated record. The transcript is spliced from 8 exons. Lineage: Eukaryota; Metazoa; Chordata; Actinopteri; Esociformes; Esocidae.